CAGAGUAGAGUGGGCUUGUCAGCUCGAGUCUGGCGUAGGGGAGGGAGAGUCAUCAUCGGCCUUUGGCAACAGAGCCACAGAUGUGGUAUAUGAAAUCCUAUAUCAACGAAGUGACGUCAAUGUAUUUGCCGCAUUAUUUUGAUUCGAUGUAACUUAGGCGAGGUGACAAAACUAGGCCUUUAGCGUAAAAUGUCUGGCAAUAAAAUCGAAAUAAUUUCAACAGUGGUGUUUAAUGCAAAGCGAGCUGUCUACUUCAUGGUUCUCCUCAACAACGUACUGGCCGGGUUACCAAAUUACCAGUUCAUAGUCUGACUGUCACAGUCAGACACUGUGGGUAGUACUGACUACUGGAUACUGUGCUGCUCAGUAGUGUCCCGCGAACCACCAGCGAGAUGAGAGCCAUUUGGACGCUCGUCGUUGCGUGCAUCCUCGUCACGCUGACGACGCCAACUACGAAAGCAACAACGGCCAGUGACGUCGGAGGUAUCAUGGCGAGAAUUACGGACACCGUCAAGACCAAAAUGGAAAACUGCAACAACCGGGAGGUCAGCUUAGACGUUAUCGCCCUCCAGAAAGAUACAAUAAACAAGGCCAUCCUUUAUCAGGAUGGCAUCAUUACCGACCUGAAUAGUGUGGCAAGAGAAGUUGUCAAGAGGAUUGACGCUUACUUGGCACAAGGCGACUAGAUAUGGAAGAAGUUCUCAGCGGAGCAAGACUUCGACUCGGAAACUACGGAACUAGAAAAUCCACUCGAGAACAAUGUGCACAAGUUGCAACUAGUAUUGAUUAAGGUUCUACAGAAAUUCCUUGUUGAAUAAAGGCAUACUUGUUCAUAC
Macrobrachium nipponense is the source of this 836-nucleotide long non-coding RNA. RefSeq lists it as uncharacterized. Lineage: Eukaryota; Metazoa; Arthropoda; Malacostraca; Decapoda; Palaemonidae. The transcript has 2 exons. The record is from RefSeq and is a predicted model, not a curated record.